Molecule: unclassified non-coding RNA, 220 nt
Filed under: rhizosphere metagenome
Description: partial ribosomal RNA internal transcribed spacer region
Source: RNAcentral
GUAGGUGAACCUGCGGAAGGAUCAUUAAUCCAGGCGUUAGCCCUCCCUCGGGGGGGUGAGCGCCGCCUUUAUACCCACCCUUUGCCUAUGUGUACCCCUAUCGCUUCCUCGGCAGGCUUGCCUGCCGCCAGGAACCAACCAAACCCUUUGCAUUAUACAUGAAAACUUCUGAUACAAACCUAAAUUAUUACAACUUUUAACAAUGGAUCUCUUGGUUCUG